AUGUCUUUCUCUUUCAUUGCAGCAAGUGCCACAGCCCCGACGGUUUUCCCAUUGCCUCCCUGUAGCCAAGAUGACGACACCGCCUCCCAGGUCUCCAUAGGUUGUCUGGUCUCUGGCUACUUCCCUGAACCAGUCACAGUGCAAUGGAAUUCAGGAGCCAUCUCCAGCGGCAUCCGAACCUUCCCUGCCCUAUUGGAUUCAUCCAGUGGCCUCUACACUCUCACCAGCCAGCUCACCAUCCCAACCAGCACCUGGGAAUCGGAGAAGCUUGAAUGCAAAGUCGCCCAUGCAGCUACCAGCUCUGAAAUCACCAAGGAGAUUGAGCGCUCUAUUGCACUACCUCCAGUGGCCCCAGAAGUCCGCCUGCUCCAUUCCUCUUGCAAACCCAGAUCCAGUGAUGCCACCAUUGAGCUGAUGUGCGUGAUCUCUAGCUUUUACCCCAAAACGGUGGCAGUGGAAUGGCUGGUGGGUGGGCAAGCUGGGCUCUUGGCUUCAUUCACUGAGCAGCCCAGGAAAGAUGCCCACGGAUACACCUUCAGCACCACAAGCACAGUCAACGUCAGCCAAGAAGACUGGCAGGCUGGGAAUGUCUACCACUGCCAGGUGUUCCACGAAGAAACCCAAACCAAAGUGAAAAGCAAAGCCAAGAUAUGUGAAGAUAAUGCUGAAUGCCCCUCCAGCGGCAUUAAUGUGCACAUCAUACCCCCAACGCCACAAGACCUGUAUGUAAACAACGACCCCAAGCUCACUUGUGUGGUGGAGAAUCUGGAAAACGCAGAUGGGCUGAAAGUCACCUGGUCACGAGCGGAUUCUGGACCCGUGAGCCCAGAACUACUGGAAGUGAAAGAAGAACGUAAUGGAAGGUUCACUGCUACCAGCUCCCUCCCUGUCACCACGUGGCUGCAGGGUGAGAAAUUCACCUGCAAUGUGGAAUAUCCAGGCUUGACUGCUCCCAUCACUAAGACCAUUGCCAAGACAACAGGCACGAGAACCCCUCCCGGAGUGUUCCUCUACCCCCCUCACCACGAGGAAAUCAACGCUCAGCCAGCAAUGCUGACCCUCACCUGCCUGGUCACAGGAUUCACCCCAAAAGAAGUUUCUAUCCAGUGGCUGAGGAAUCACAAUGCCAUGCCUGGAGACCAUCAUGUCAACACUCCGGUCAUAAAGGACAACAAGAACGACUCCUACUUUCUAUACAGCCACAUGAAAAUCCCAUUCGCUGACUGGAACAACGGAGUUUCACACACCUGUAUGGUUAUCCACGAAGCCCUCCCCAUGAAGUUCACCCAGAGGACCGUGGAGAAAACCCAGGGUAAAAAGACGACUGUGUCAGCAGAUGUUGAUUAUAGUGAUGAGAAAAAGGAGGAACUGGAUAACUUGUGGGUGACCAUCUUUGUUUUCUUCCUUCUCUUCAUCCUCAGUGUUUGCUAUAGUGCCACCGUGACACUGUUCAAAGUAAAAUGGCUCUUCUCUAGGAUGCUGCAGCUGAAGAAGCAGCCACCAGGCCCUGACUAUAAGAAUGUGAUCCAACGAAUGGCCUAG
Molecule: non-coding RNA, 1542 nt
Organism: Podarcis muralis (Common wall lizard)
Lineage: Eukaryota; Metazoa; Chordata; Lepidosauria; Squamata; Lacertidae
Source: the annotation of a RefSeq genome assembly